Molecule: unclassified non-coding RNA, 244 nt
Filed under: plant metagenome
Description: partial contains small subunit ribosomal RNA, internal transcribed spacer 1, and 5.8S ribosomal RNA
Source: RNAcentral
UUUCCGUAGGUGAACCAGCGGAGGGAUCAUUACCGAGUUUACAACUCCCAAACCCAAUGUGAACCAUACCAAACUGUUGCCUCGGCGGGGUCACGCCCCGGGUGCGUCGCAGCCCCGGAACCAGGCGCCCGCCGGAGGGACCAACCAAACUCUUUCUGUAGUCCCCUCGCGGACGUUAUUUUUACAGCUCUGAGCAAAAAUUCAAAAUGAAUCAAAACUUUCAACAACGGAUCUCUUGGUUCUC